RNAcentral lists this ribosomal RNA (875 nucleotides) under uncultured archaeon. Its description in RNAcentral is "bacterial SSU rRNA". It matches the Rfam family "Archaeal small subunit ribosomal RNA", at positions 5 to 879 of the family's 1478-position model. The record is from RNAcentral.
CGGUUGAUCCUGCCGGAGGUUACUGCUAUCGGAGUUCGAUUAAGCCAUGCGAGUCUAAAGGUUUCUUCGGAAGCCUUGGCGGACUGCUCAGUAACANGUGGAUAACNUACCCUUGGGACUGGAAUAACCCCGGGAAACUGGGGAUAAUACNGGAUAGAUCAGGGAUGCUGGAAUGCACCUUGAUCCAAAGCUCCGGCGCCCAAGGAUGGGACUGCGGCCUAUCAGGUUGUAGUGGGUGUAACGUACNUACUAGCCGACGACGGGUACGGGUUGUGAGAGCAAGAGCCCGGAGAUGGAUUCUGAGACACGAAUCCAGGCCCUACGGGGUGCAGCAGGCGCGAAACCUUUACAAUGUGCGAAAGCAUGAUAAGGGAACUCCGAGUGCCAGUAUCUAAUACUGGCUGUCCUUGUGCCUAAACCGCACAAGAUAGCAAGGGCCGGGUAAGACCGGUGCCAGCCGCCGCGGUAACACCGGCGGCCCGAGUGGUAGCCGCUAUUAUUGGGUCUAAAGGGUCCGUAGCCGGUUCGAUAAGUCCUCUGGGAAAUCUGGUUGCUUAACAAUCAGACUGCCAAGGGAUACUGUUGAACUUGAGACCGGGAGAGGUAAGAGGUACUUCAGGGGUAGGAGUGAAAUCUUGUAAUCCCUGGGGGACCAUCUGUGGCGAAGGCGUCUUACCAGAACGGGUCUGACGGUGAGGGACGAAAGCUGGGGGCGCAAACCGGAUUAGAUACCCGGGUAGUCCCAGCCGUAAACGAUGCUCGCUAUGUGUCAGGUACGGUGUGACCGUAUCUGGUGCCGUAGGGAAGCCGUGAAGCGAGCCACCUGGGAAGUACGGUCGCAAGACUGAAACUUAAAGGAAUUGGCGGGGGAGCAC